RNAcentral lists this unclassified non-coding RNA (378 nucleotides) under plant metagenome. RNAcentral's name for it is "partial contains 5.8S ribosomal RNA, internal transcribed spacer 2, and large subunit ribosomal RNA". The stretch from base 1 to 105 matches the Rfam family "5.8S ribosomal RNA", at positions 50 to 154 of the family's 154-position model. The record is from RNAcentral.
GAAAUGCGAUAAGUAAUGUGAAUUGCAGAAUUCAGUGUAUCAUCGAAUCUUUGAACGCACCUUGCGCUCCUUGGUAUUCCUUGGAGCAUGCCUGUUUGAGUAUCAUGAAAUCUUCAAAGUAAAUCUUUUGUUAACUCAAUUGGUUUCUACUUUGGUAUUGGAGGUCUUUGCAGCUUCACACCUGCUCCUCUUUGUUCAUUAGCUGGAUCUCAGUGUUAUGCUUGGUUCCACUCGGCGUGAUAAGUUAUCUAUCGCUGAGGACACUGUAAAAGGUGGCCAAGGUAAAUGCAGAUGUACCGCUUCUAAUAGUCCAUUGACUUGGACAAUACUUUUAUGAUCUGAUCUCAAAUCAGGUAGGACUACCCGCUGAACUUAAGC